This 253-nucleotide ribosomal RNA is filed under the name uncultured bacterium. RNAcentral describes it as "partial 16S ribosomal RNA". It matches the Rfam family "Bacterial small subunit ribosomal RNA", at positions 524 to 776 of the family's 1533-position model. The record is from RNAcentral.
UACAGAGGGUGCAAGCGUUGCUCGGAUUUAUUGGGCGUAAAGCGCGCGCAGACGGUUUGGAAGGUCGGAUGUGAAAGCCCUGGGCUCAACCCAGGAACUGCAUUCGAAACCACCAUCCUAGAGUUCGGGAGAGGGAGGCGGAAUUCCUGGUGUAGAGGUGAAAUUCGUAGAUAUCAGGAGGAACACCAGCGGCGAAGGCGGCUUCCUGGCCCGAUACUGACGUUCAGGCGCGAAAGCGUGGGUAGCAAACAGG